GUGUUUGCUUCAGCAGCACAUAUACUAAAAUUGAAAUGAUACAGAGGAGAUUAGUAUGGCCCCUACGCAAGGAUGACAAGCAAAUUUCUGAAGAGUUCCAUAUUUUU
Acomys russatus (golden spiny mouse) is the source of this 107-nucleotide small nuclear RNA. NCBI's taxonomy places the organism in Eukaryota, Metazoa, Chordata, Mammalia, Rodentia, Muridae. The record is from RefSeq and is a predicted model, not a curated record.